Molecule: long non-coding RNA, 158 nt
Organism: Oreochromis niloticus (Nile tilapia)
Lineage: Eukaryota; Metazoa; Chordata; Actinopteri; Cichliformes; Cichlidae
Exons: 3
Source: RefSeq, a predicted model, not a curated record
AGGAAACAUCUGUGCUGUGUCUGCUCUGAGUCGAGGAAACACAGCAGGCAGUGAAAAGCUCAAAUCAUUCACUCAUUAUAUCAACACAGCUGCACAGUGGACACAUGACUGUACUGGGUUAUUUAAAUGUAUUCUGAUCUCACUGCUGAGCUGCACAA